GGAGGUAGCUCAGUGGUAGAGCUCUUUCCUGGUGUGUGUGAGGCCCUGGGUUCCAUCCCUAGCACUGCA
This 69-nucleotide transfer RNA is filed under the name Marmota monax (woodchuck). RNAcentral describes it as "tRNA.Thr". Lineage: Eukaryota; Metazoa; Chordata; Mammalia; Rodentia; Sciuridae. The record is from RNAcentral.